UAGUCACAUAUUCUUGUAGGCAAAAUAGACAAACAGAUUUAUCACUUAACAUCUACUACUCAUCUCCAUGUGGAAUAUAACCUUUCUUAUCAUCAUUCAAGAAUAUGGCUUUGAGGGACUAUGUGAGCAAUCAGUGUUUUUUUUAGCAUGGGGCAGCAUUUAAUGCAGAAAAUUCGUGUGUAGAGGAAGCCCACAGAAUGGGUUUCUUCUUCACUGAUCUGAAAGUGGAGUGUGAUACAGGGAAACAGAGCUGUAGGAUUUUAUACACUCCCUCCUGUUUUCUUCUCAUCUGAUGACCAUUGAGGAAAAGGUUUACCUGACAUUUCAAUUUCAAGUGGAGAGAGCUAGCUCUUCAAUGAUCAAGAUGUGAGCUCUCAGCUGCAGCUCCAGAUGCCUGUCACUACACCUUUUCUCUGCCAUCACACACUCUAAGCCUCUGGAACCAUAAGCCAAUUAAACUCGUUCUUUUUGAA
This is a long non-coding RNA of Peromyscus eremicus (cactus mouse), 473 nucleotides long. RefSeq lists it as uncharacterized. NCBI's taxonomy places the organism in Eukaryota, Metazoa, Chordata, Mammalia, Rodentia, Cricetidae. The transcript is spliced from 4 exons. The record is from RefSeq and is a predicted model, not a curated record.